CGUGUAGGCGGUUUGUUAAGUCUGAUGUGAAAGCCCCGGGGCUCAACCUGGGAAGUGCAUUGGAUACUGGCGGACUUGAAUACGGGAGAGGGCAGUGGAAUUCCUGGUGUAGGAGUGAAAUCCGUAGAUAUCAGGAGGAACACCGGUGGCGAAGGCGGCUGCCUGGACCGAUAUUGACGCUGAGACGCGAAAGCGUGGGUAGCAAACA
RNAcentral lists this ribosomal RNA (208 nucleotides) under uncultured delta proteobacterium. RNAcentral describes it as "partial 16S ribosomal RNA". It matches the Rfam family "Bacterial small subunit ribosomal RNA", at positions 568 to 774 of the family's 1533-position model. Lineage: Bacteria; Deltaproteobacteria. The record is from RNAcentral.